ACGGGUAUUCUUGGGUAAAUAAU
This 23-nucleotide microRNA is filed under the name Haliotis rufescens (red abalone). RNAcentral's name for it is "Hru-Mir-137_5p* (star (passenger))". The record is from RNAcentral. RNAcentral also lists the same sequence under 1 other name. Lineage: Eukaryota; Metazoa; Mollusca; Gastropoda; Lepetellida; Haliotidae.